UCGCUGUGAUGACUGAUUCCAAAACCAUUGGUAGUUUCCACCAGCUGCGGUGCUGGCCAGUUCCUUCCUUGGAUAUCUGAGUGA
This 84-nucleotide small nucleolar RNA is filed under the name Nannospalax galili (Upper Galilee mountains blind mole rat). RNAcentral describes it as "Small nucleolar RNA SNORD14 (ENSNGAG00000004003.1)". Lineage: Eukaryota; Metazoa; Chordata; Mammalia; Rodentia; Spalacidae. The record is from RNAcentral.